Molecule: transfer RNA, 74 nt
Filed under: Candidatus Rehaiarchaeum fermentans
Lineage: Archaea; Nanobdellati; Candidatus Parvarchaeota
Also listed under: 1 other name
Description: tRNA-Lys
Rfam family: tRNA
About the family: Transfer RNA (tRNA) molecules are approximately 80 nucleotides in length.
Source: RNAcentral
GGGUCCGUAGCUUAACACGGUAGAGCAACCGGCUCUUAACCGGUGGGUUGAGGGUUCAAAUCCCUCCGGGCCCA